AUUGAACGCUGGCGGCAGGCCUAACACAUGCAAGUCGAACGGUAGCAGGAAGAAGCUUGCUUCUUUGCUGACGAGUGGCGGACGGGUGAGUAAUGUCUGGGAAACUGCCUGAUGGAGGGGGAUAACUACUGGAAACGGUAGCUAAUACCGCAUAACGUCGCAAGACCAAAGAGGGGGACCUUCGGGCCUCUUGCCAUCAGAUGUGCCCAGAUGGGAUUAGCUAGUAGGUGGGGUAACGGCUCACCUAGGCGACGGUCCCUAGCUGGUCUGAGGGGAUAACCAGCGACACUGGAGCUGAGACACGGACCAGACUCCUACGGGGGGCAGCAGUGGGGAAUAUUGCAUGAGGGGCGCAAGCCUGAUGCAGCCAUGCCGCGUGUGUGAAGAAGGCCUUCGGGUUGUAAAGCACUUUCCGCGGGGAGGGAGGGGGAAUGGUUAAUAACCAUUGCCAUUGACGUUACCCGCAGAAGAAGCACCGGCUAACUCCGAGCCAGCCGCCGCGGUAA
RNAcentral lists this ribosomal RNA (506 nucleotides) under uncultured bacterium. Its description in RNAcentral is "partial 16S ribosomal RNA". It matches the Rfam family "Bacterial small subunit ribosomal RNA", at positions 29 to 523 of the family's 1533-position model. The record is from RNAcentral.